UACGGAGGGAGCUAGCGUUGUUCGGAAUUACUGGGCGUAAAGCGCACGUAGGCGGCUUUGUAAGUUAGAGGUGAAAGCCCGGAGCUCAACUCCGGAAUUGCCUUUAAGACUGCAUCGCUUGAAUCCGGGAGAGGUGAGUGGAAUUCCGAGUGUAGAGGUGAAAUUCGUAGAUAUUCGGAAGAACACCAGUGGCGAAGGCGGCUCACUGGACCGGUAUUGACGCUGAGGUGCGAAAGCGUGGGGGAGCAAACAGG
This 254-nucleotide ribosomal RNA is filed under the name uncultured bacterium. RNAcentral describes it as "partial 16S ribosomal RNA". It matches the Rfam family "Bacterial small subunit ribosomal RNA", at positions 524 to 776 of the family's 1533-position model. The record is from RNAcentral.